UGCUACUCCCAUUGCAAAAAAGGGUUUAAGGAGCCCAGCGCCGUGGCUCACUAGGUUAAUCCCCCGCCUGCGGAGCCGGCAUCCCAUGUGGGUGCCGGGUUCUAGUCCCAGCUGCUCCUCUUCCAGGCCAGCUCUCUGCUGUGGCCCGGGAGUGCAGUGGAGGAUGGCCCAAGUGCUUGGGCCUGCACCUGCAUGGGAGACCAAGAGAAGCACCUGGCUCCUGGCUUCGGAUCAGUGCAGUGCACCGGCCAUAGUGGCCAUUUGGGGAGUGAACCAACAGAAGGAAGACCUUUCUCUCUGUCUCUCUCUCUCUCGCUGUCUAUAACUCUACCUGUCAAAUAAAUAAAUAAAAAUCUCUUUUUAAAAAAAGGGUGUGGCUCUAAUGUAGGACUUUGGAAUUACAGGUGAAACCCCAGUUAGCUCUAACUUACCCAUGCAUGAGCAGGGAGCAGGAGGGGUGGGUCAUGGGAGCAUCCCCUUGUCUGCUGUGGCCAAUUUCUGCAUUUGAUGUGGCUCAGGCAUGACAGCCACACCAGGAGUUCACAGCACAGGAGGUGGACACCAGGUCUGACCAUGAGCUCUGGCCAGGGCCCAUGCACACCUCACUUCCUCCUCCUGCCCCUGCUCUGGUGGACUUAGGAUCUCAUCUCCUGGGCUGAUGGAUGCAAAAGAUGGGUCUAAGCGGGGAGGCCCCUGAAAAGCCGUGUGCCCGUGAAGCAGGGAGAUGCUUCUGAGGUUUUCCCAGUUUCAGGAGAGGCACGGACAGGAGAAUGAUGUGCGGACACCUUAUCAGAAGCAGCCCUUCCCCCACCACAGCCCCUGCCACAUCACCCAUUUCUGCUCUCUUCACAGCCUCCACUCUGUUCUGACAUUUCUUAGUUGAGGUUGUGCUUCCUGACCUGUUAACAUCUGUCCCCGCUCUAGAAUGAAGCCCCACGAGACCCGGGAUUUCAUCUCCUUUGACUGGGUCUUCUAGAACGCUGCCUGGCCCAGAGAUGCUCCAGUCAUAGCCCCCAAGACCCACUUGGAAAGCUCACACAGGUGUCCCCAUUUCGAGGUUUACCAAUAAGCACGAACAACCACAGCGUGGAGGAGCUCCCUGGGAACUGAACAAGGACUGGGAGAGCAACGAGGGAGACUCCUCUGGACGUCAGGAAAGAUUGCCUCCUGCUGCUCAGAAUCAUUCUCAGCAUUGGAGACACAGGGGCAGAAAACCACAAGUCCCCUGCCUUGAAGAGCGUCUAUUCUAGACAGAAGCAUCGAUGAGCAAAAACAAAGUGAAGUCUCCUCUGUUAAUUUGGCUGUGAUUUGGAAUCUGAAGGCCAGCUGAGUUUCCACCCAGGAGACUUGGGGCAGCUACUUGGCUCAUUCUGGACUUCAUGUUUUCUAACUAUGAGAUGUGGAUAGCAGCUACCCCCCAGGGUUCUUGGAAGCAAUGAAACACUAUAUGUAGACAUUUCUCAAGGAAGCCAAAGCCCUGUGUAAGGCUGGCUACUGCCUUCUGUUUAUAAACAGGGUCUGUGUUGCUUUGCUAGGUGGACUGUUGCGGAGCAGAGACACACACUGGCUUCUCACCAGCCUCUGCCUGAGUGCUAGAGGCCCAGGAGCUUCAGAUGGUUGGGACAGAGGCAAUUCUGAAGACAUGGGAGGCAUUCUAGAUCAAUGCACUGUACUGAGACUCUCCCAGACCAAUCAUGACUACGGAACCCAAGAUCAUGGAGAUUACAGCUUCAAAGAGCGUGUGUUCCGGUUUCUCUCCAUAUGUCCUAGAUCAGCAUGGUCGGGUAAAGCGAUCUGUGAUGGUGGAAAGGUUUUGCACCUGUGCUGGGCAGUAUGCAGCCAGUAGCCAACGUGACAUUGGAAACCUGCUCAAGAACCACGACACUACAAGGACGUAGCUCUGUUGAUCAUCCCAUUUUGAAGAUGGUACAAGUAACUUAAGUCAUUCAUCCAAGGUGACAAAGCUGCUAGGUGGUAAGCUAGCAGGUGGACCUGUAGGUGACCAGCCACCCUGGUUUGCUGGGAACUGAAGGAUCUCUCCUGGGACAUGGGACUUUAAGUGAUGAAUCCAGGCAAGUCCCAAGUAAGCCAGGACAAAUUGGUCACCCUGUACCCUGUGCCUGGGGCAAUCUGGCUCUUUACCUCAUGCUUCCCUCAUUUGUGGGGGGCAUAGAGCCACCCAGGGCACUUAGAGGAAGAGGUGGGGAGACCAGAGCUGGCUUUGUUCCACUUCCCCUCAUUGUAGCUACCAGAACCCUGCGGCCCGACUAAUACGUACCGAGACCUCAGGGAAGCCAGAGGCAGAGCUAGGACCAAGCCUAGUCCCAGAGCAGGGCUUCAUCAAUAUUUAUUCACUCAUUCAAGCUCUGUCUCUCUGGGAAAGGGGUUCAAAGUGACCUGUAGGAAAGGACAUGCUAAAAGUUGCCAACGAAUAAGCAGCAGAAGAAAAUUGAGACCCAAAUAUAAUGCAAAAGUGCCAGCUUUAAUAGGUAAUUUGGGCUCGAGCUUCCUGGCACCCACAGUAAAAAAGGAAAGCUCUCAGAGCUUUCUCAGGACAGACAGGGGAGUGUUUGUGGUGGUUUGGUUUAAUCUUUAAAACUGCUUGCUGUCUGGUUGGGAUCCUUAGGUAACAGCUUUCCUGAUACUACAGGAUGUUGUCUUGUGCUGGUGUCCUGGGGAGGCAGAAGCAUGCUUCCAGGCCUGUUCUGUGUACCAGUCCAAGACUUCUGCAGGCUCCAAAACAAUCCAAAUAAACCCUGACUCACAGGCGCAUGGUAUGAAACAGAUAUAACUGGAGGUGUGGGGGCUGGAGCCCUGCCUGGGCCUCUGCCCCCUACCCCUGAAGCCUCUGACAGGUUCCAUGGAGCUGUUCUCCAAGCCUGGAUCCUGGGGCUGCCCGGGAAGAGACCAAUGCCUUUGACACUUGCCUGGCAGUUCCCUUGCCCUUGGGGAGCACCCAGGGCCUUGGGGUCAAUGUCCACCAGCCCCAAGGUGCCGGAGAGGCCGAGGGGCUGCAGCUGGACAAAGUUAGACACAGCCAUUACUCUUGACUGCAGUGGUGUGAGCUAUGGCUGGCUGCUACACCAGGAGCCACUGGAUGCCUCCUCCUUAGUUUCUCCUUAGGAUUUCUGUUGGCUUUUAAACAAUUUCUUGAGUUUCAUUCAAGGUCAGGGAGGAGGCUGCAGCACUCAGGGAGGGGGGGAGAGCCCCACCCUAAUCAGAUUUGAGCGGAGACAGGAUAAAAAUUAACCUUCAUUUGAAUAUGUAAACAAACACAGCACUGGGUAAUUUCCAGCCGCCCUUGGCUUUGAGUCUUCAAAGAGCAGCAGAAAGCGCUUCACCUGCCAGGUCUCUUGGUGGCCAGGAAAACUUUAUCCGUCAAGGCUUCUUGCACUUGAACAAGUGCUAAAUAAUCAUAAUGGACCCGGACUGAAAACAGCUCUCCCCACGGCAAAGGGUGGCGUCCAGGCAGGAUGAAGAACCGGGAGUUCUUCAACGACAGAGGGGGAGACAAAAUCUGGCUUGAUGAAUGCUGACAUUCCGAAUAAAAUCACUCCAUGCCUUCACCUAGGUCAAGAAACGACAUUGUUUUCCUGAGUCGCGGUGACAGCGAGGUGACAGAGAUUAAUAGCUCGGUAUUGACUGAGCAACUUGGAGUUCCUUAUCUCUGUCAAGUCAAGGCUGUGUCCAAGGGCUGAAAGUGUUAUUAGACUUAUAAUUGCAAAGACAUUUAAAGGGUUUCCCCUUAGGGGACUAUGAAAUCCAAUAAACCUUUCACAAAACCUCAAGCACUCGCCUGCCAAGCCCCGUCUGGGAGAGCUGCACGCUCCCGGCCCAACGCCCGCAAACCUUGAAGCUGCCAACGGUGAAUAAUGUUUGAUUUAUGAAGUUGGUUUUGAAUUUGUAUCAGUUGUUUUAUUAAAA
Molecule: non-coding RNA, 3924 nt
Organism: Oryctolagus cuniculus (rabbit)
Lineage: Eukaryota; Metazoa; Chordata; Mammalia; Lagomorpha; Leporidae
Source: RefSeq, a predicted model, not a curated record